Molecule: ribosomal RNA, 497 nt
Filed under: uncultured bacterium
Lineage: Bacteria
Description: partial 16S ribosomal RNA
Rfam family: Bacterial small subunit ribosomal RNA
Source: RNAcentral
GAUGAACGCUGGCGGCGUGCCUAAUACAUGCAAGUCGAGCGAACGGACGAGAAGCUUGCUUUUCUGAUGUUAGCGGCGGACGGGUGAGUAACACGUGGAUAACCUACCUAUAAGACUGGGAUAACUUCGGGAAACCGGAGCUAAUACCGGAUAAUAUCUUGAACCGCAUGGUUCAUAAGUGAAAGACGGUCUUGCUGUCACUUAUAGAUGGAUCCGCGCUGCAUUAGCUAGUUGGUAAGGUAACGGCUUACCAAGGCAACGAUGCAUAGCCGACCUGAGAGGGUGAUCGGCCACACUGGAACUGAGACACGGUCCAGACUCCUACGGGAGGCAGCAGUAGGGAAUCUUCCGCAGUGGGCGAAAGCCUUGCGGAGCAGCGCCGCGUGAGUGAUGAAGGUCUUCGGAUCGUAAAACUCUGUUAUUAGGGAAGAACAUAUGUGUAAGUAACUGUACACAUCUUGACGGUACCUAAUCAGAAAGCCACGGCUAACUACGUG